CCCCCCGCCCCACGGCCCCUCCGGGGGUCAGUUUGCAUUACAGAAGGACGUUACGGCGCGCGACUCCCUCACUUCCUCCACCCUGUAGCCACCCCAUCACCGUCCCUCCCCUCGCACGGCCUUCCCAGGGCGGCUCCGCGCUCGGCCGAAAUCUGCCACGCCAAUCCCUUCUGCUCUGCGGCGCUGACCCGGGGGGCCGGCCGGGAAGCCCUCCCGGCCUUUCCCAGACCCCAUCCGCCAGCGAUGGGGACCGCCCCGCGGCGCCCGUGAAGCCGGGUCCGCUGCCACGAGGCAACCUGGCCCGGCAGCCCGACGGGAGGUCGCUCUCCUCCCUGUCCUGGGGAAAGAGUGGCAGUUCGGUCCUCCCACGGCGCAUUUCUAACGGACGGUCGACCGGAGAAUCCUCCUCCGGGACACGGACGCUGGCAUAUUCCACCUGAACCCCGGACGAGCGGCGGGGGCACGCGGGAACCCAGCGGGAGCCCUGCCCGGGGACUCGGUCCAGCAGGAGUAGCUAGGGCCGAGGGUACCAUUCACCGAGCUCCGACGCGAUCCGGACCGAUUUGCCCCGCCUCGUUCGAAACCUCCAGUUUUUUGACAUGUCGAUGAAAAAUUCCGGGAUAAAUAUAUCUAUCACAUUUCUUUCGAAAUAAAGGCCUUUUAAUAAAGA
Long non-coding RNA from Ornithorhynchus anatinus (platypus), 670 nucleotides. RefSeq lists it as uncharacterized. Lineage: Eukaryota; Metazoa; Chordata; Mammalia; Monotremata; Ornithorhynchidae. The record is from RefSeq and is a predicted model, not a curated record. The transcript has 2 exons.